AAUCCCAUGAACCACAGCACACCAGGCCUCCCUGUCCAUCACCAACUGCUGGAGUACACCCAAACCUAUGUCCAUUGAGUCAAUGAUGCCAUCCAACCAUCUCAUCCUCUGUCGUCCCCUUCCCCUCCUGCCUUCAAUCUUUACCAGCAUCAGGGUCUUUUCAAAUGAGUCAUCUCUUCACAUCAGGUGCCCAAAGUAUUGGAGUUUCAGCUUCAACAUCAGUCCUUCCAGUGAACACCCAGGACUGAUCUCCUUUAGGAUGGACUAGUUGGAUCUCCUUGCAGUCCAAGGGACUCUCAAGAGUCUUCUCCAACACCACAGUUCAAAAGCAUCAAUUCUUCGGCACUCAGCUUUCUUUAUAGUCCAACUCUCACAUCCAUACAUGACUACUGGAAAAACCAUAGCCUUGACUAGACAGAUUUUGAUGACAAAGUAAUGUCUCUGCUUUUUAAUAUGCUAUAUAGGUUGGUCAUAACUUCCUUCCAAGGAGUAAGCGUCUUUUAAUUUCAUGGCUGCAGUCACCAUCCGCAGGGAUUUUGGAGCCCCCAAAAAUAAAGUCUGACACUGUUUCCACUGUUUCCCCAUCUAUUUGCCAUAAAGUGAUGGGACCAGAUGCCAUGAUCUUAGUUUUCUGAAUGUUGAGCUUUAAGCCAACUUUUUCACUCUCCUCUUUCACUUUCAUCAAGAGGCUCUUUAGUCCUUCUUUGCUUUCUGCCAUAAGGGUGGUGUCAUCUGUGUAUCUGAGGUUAUUGGUAUUUCUCCCAGCAAUCUUUAUUCCAGCUUGGGCUUCCUCCAGGCCUCCAGGGUUUCUCAUGAUGUACUCUGCAUAUAAGUUAAAUAAUCAGGGUGACAGUAUACAGCCUUGACGUACUCCUUUCCCUAUUCAGAACCAGUCUGUUGUUCCAUGUCCAGUUCUAACUGUUGCUUCCUGACCUGCAUACAGAUUUCUCAAGAGGCAGAUCAGGUGGUCUGGUAUUCCCAUCUCUUGAAGAAUUUUUCACAGUUUAUUGUGAUCCACACAGUUAAAGGCUUUGGUAUAGUCAAUGUUUCAAAUUAUUACUACAAUUUCCCAUAUGUUGCAGUUUUUUUAAACAGAGUCUUCUUAGAAGACUGCCUUUCUCUGAAGAUCAGUGAGAACCCCUGGAGGAAUUCACAAAGAAACAAGACAGAUUUUUAUUUCCAUCCUAAAAACAAUGGGGAAAAAAACAAAAAUAAUAGGAGUUAAGAGUCUACCUGGGAUGGUAGUGGAAGGAUGUCCCAAGGACCUAAUCAGUCAUUCUCAGGAUGUGAAGGACGCCUGGAAACACAACAGGUCAGUGGCCAGAUGUUCCCUAUCUCAUUCCAGGGCACAGGGGAAAUGCUCUGUGAAGUGGCAUGGCAAACUGUGAGAAAAGCUAUUAAACCAUCUUGCUGCCCAUGCUCCUCUUUCACCCAGACAGAGAUCUAAGGAAAACCCAAACAGAUGCGAAGAAAUAUAGACAAACUUGCCACUUAGUCAACACCAAAGGAGGCAGAGAUGUGUGCAGAG
This 1528-nucleotide long non-coding RNA is filed under the name Bos indicus x Bos taurus (hybrid cattle). RNAcentral describes it as "lncRNA (ENSBIXG00000022666.1)". The record is from RNAcentral. Lineage: Eukaryota; Metazoa; Chordata; Mammalia; Artiodactyla; Bovidae.